GACGAACGCUGGCGGCGUGCCUAACACAUGCAAGUCGAACGGAAAGGCCCUGCUUUUGUGGGGUGCUCGAGUGGCGAACGGGUGAGUAACACGUGAGUAACCUGCCCUUGACUUUGGGAUAACUUCAGGAAACUGGGGCUAAUACCGGAUAGGAGCUCCUGCUGCAUGGUGGGGGUUGGAAAGUUUCGGCGGUUGGGGAUGGACUCGCGGCUUAUCAGCUUGUUGGUGGGGUAGUGGCUUACCAAGGCUUUGACGGGUAGCCAGCCUGAGAGGGUGACCGGCCACAUUGGGACUGAGAUACGGCCCAGACUCCUACGGGAGGCAGCAGUGGGGAAUAUUGCACAAUGGGCGGAAGCCUGAUGCAGCAACGCCGCGUGCGGGAUGACGGCCUUCGGGUUGUAAACCGCUUUCGCCUGUGACGAAGCGUGAGUGACGGUAAUGGGUAAAGAAGCACCGGCUAACUACGUG
Molecule: ribosomal RNA, 468 nt
Filed under: uncultured bacterium
Lineage: Bacteria
Description: partial 16S ribosomal RNA
Rfam family: Bacterial small subunit ribosomal RNA
Source: RNAcentral